Molecule: ribosomal RNA, 743 nt
Filed under: uncultured Diversispora
Lineage: Eukaryota; Fungi; Glomeromycota; Glomeromycetes; Diversisporales; Diversisporaceae
Description: partial 28S ribosomal RNA
Source: RNAcentral
UACGUCAACAUCCUUAAGCAAAUUUUUGAUCGUUCUAACCUAAUGGGCAUUAGUACUCCCCGGUGGCAAGAAUGUUGUCACAAGAGAGGUAACAUCCAGAGAUCAGGCGACAAGCCAAAGGCAAUUUGCUGCAAUCCUCGAUCCCACAGGCUGCAUCCCCCAGGGUCUAUAAUACUCUCCCGAAGCAGAGCUACUUUUCCCCAAGUAUUUUACAACCUCCGAAACCGAUGCUGACCUGCCAAAGAAAAAGUACAUCUAACAAAUCUCAAGUACAAAAGAGAAACGGUUUGACCCUGCCUCUACUCCUGAACUCAAAACCCGUCAAACUGAUUUUUCACUAGCAUGACUGACUUCAAUCGUUUCCCUUUCAACAAUUUCACGUACUAUUUAACUCUCUUUUCAAAGUUCUUUUCAUCUUUCCUUCACAGUACUUGUUCGCUAUCGGUCUCUCGCUGAUAUUUAGCCUUAGGUGAAGUCUACCACCCAUUUUGAGCUGCAUUCCCAAACAACUCGACUCUUAGAAAGCGAAUAUUAAAUAUUUUGGUCUGAUCAUGCACGGGAUUCUCACCCUCCAUGAUGUCUUGUUCCAAAGAACUUGAACCAGACCUCCACACCGAUAUCGCUUCUUCAAAUUACAAUUCGACCUGGGAACCAGGUGGAUUUAAAAUUUGAGCUUUUCCCUCUUCACUCGCCGUUACUAGGGGAAUCCUUGUUAGUUUCUUUUCCUCCGCUUAUUGAUAUCG